This 249-nucleotide ribosomal RNA is filed under the name uncultured bacterium. Its description in RNAcentral is "partial 16S ribosomal RNA". It matches the Rfam family "Bacterial small subunit ribosomal RNA", at positions 57 to 305 of the family's 1533-position model. The record is from RNAcentral.
GCAAGUCGAGGGGCAGCAUUUACUUCGGUAAGAUGGCGACCGGCGAACGGGUGCGUAACGCGUAUGCAACCUUCCUUAUACAAAAGGAUAGCCCAUGGAAACGUGGAUUAAUACUUUAUAGUACUAUAAAACUGCAUAGAUUAAUAGUUAAAACUUCGGUGGUAUAAGAUGGGCAUGCGUAUGAUUAGCUAGUUGGUGAGGUAAUGGCUCACCAAGGCGACGAUCAUUAGGGGUUCUGAGAGGAUUAUC